GUCCUGUCUGUCUGUCUGUCUGGACAGAACAGAACAGAGCAGAACAGAGCGGAGASMACAGACGUGCUACAAUGUGAACCUCUGUGUCUGUCUGGCCCAUUGCCUGGGUUUACACCGUGUUCUGUCUUCAAACAGAUUCUUCUACGACAACCCCAUCCAGUUUGUUGGCCAGUCGGCCUUCCAGCACCUCCCUGAGCUGCGGACACUAUCUCUGAAUGGUGCAGCAGAAAUCACAGAGUUCCCGGACCUCACUGGCACCAAAGAGUCUUGAGAGCCUGACCAUCACUGGAGCUCGCAUCACAUCCUUACCCACCACUGUGUGUGACCAGCUACCCAACCUGCAAGUGCU
Long non-coding RNA from Salvelinus sp. IW2-2015, 349 nucleotides. RefSeq lists it as uncharacterized. NCBI's taxonomy places the organism in Eukaryota, Metazoa, Chordata, Actinopteri, Salmoniformes, Salmonidae. The record is from RefSeq and is a predicted model, not a curated record.